This 395-nucleotide ribosomal RNA is filed under the name Calonarius rufo-olivaceus. Its description in RNAcentral is "eukaryotic LSU rRNA". The stretch from base 58 to 211 matches the Rfam family "5.8S ribosomal RNA". Lineage: Eukaryota; Fungi; Basidiomycota; Agaricomycetes; Agaricales; Cortinariaceae. The record is from RNAcentral.
CCCCAAUGUAUGUUUAUAGAAUGNAAUCAAUGGGCCUUUGUGCCUAUAAAUUUUUACAACUUUCAGCAACGGAUCUCUUGGCUCUCGCAUCGAUGAAGAACGCAGCGAAAUGCGAUAAGUAAUGUGAAUUGCAGAAUUCAGUGAAUCAUCGAAUCUUUGAACGCACCUUGCGCUCCUUGGUAUUCCGAGGAGCAUGCCUGUUUGAGUGUCAUUAAUAUAUCAACCUUCUUUGGUUGGAUGUGGGUUUGCUGGUCUCUUUUUGAGGUCGGCUUCCCUUAAAUGCAUUAGCGGACAACAUUUUGCCAACCGUUCAUUGGUGUGAUAAUUAUCUACGCUAUUGACGUGAAGCAUGGGUUCAGCUUCUAAUAGUCCAUUGACUUGGACAAUUUUAUUUA